UUUAAGAGGUAACCUAUGUGAUUGAAGCUCUGCCAUUUUCCUGUAAUCUGUGUAGUACAGUGGAGGCUGGCCCAGCUGGCUGUAUUGCUGGACUUACUUCUCUCAGCUAGCUUCAGCCAAGCUUGGUUGCUAAAACUGUUGAUCUGCUCUGCAUUUUGUGGACAUGACAUGAAUGUUUGGAAAGCUGUUUUUUGUCAGUGUAGUACCUAGAGAUUCAGUAGAUGCUGCACCACCAGUUCAUAGUUUAUAUGGAAGACAAAGGACAGAAUUUAUGACAUAACAGUUUCUGUUAAGCUGUUUUCAUAUUCUGCCAGGACAGUAUAUCUGCUGUAAAAAAAAUAAAAGUUGUCUACCCUAGUGGUGCCCAGCAUCAGAACACACCAAUUAUAAACCAUGCUGUGAGCUUUUCAAAUAAGAAAGGCUGGUCCUUGUUUUCUAUAGUGCAGGUUAACUUUAGGACUGAUGGCUUAUACUUAUCAGUACUAUUUUAAACGUUAGCUUAAAAAUUAUUUUUAUGUAGAGGGUAUUUUAAUUUGGGAACUUUCUUUUCUUGUAAUAGGUGCUAUAUGUAAAUAUGGAGUGAGAAUUUGCUUCAUUAAAGGUCUAGCUUAUUUCCCAUUUCUGUUUCCAUUUCAUGGUUUGUACUAAACUAAUAGCAGAAUGAAUUAGUCCCUUAAGGCUGUAACUACCUUUUCUCCCAGUUGUACAAAAAUAUCUCCAUUCGGUUUCAUCUCAGAUUAAGAGGCAAAGAAGCUAAGAAUGAAAACAAAAUGCAUAAGCUUGAAUUUGGUCAACACUGGACUAUUUGAAAUGAUCACUGUGUAUUUGUCACUGCAGUUUACUGUGUCUGAAAGGCAUUGUGUGUGUGUCUUAAUUUCAGUGAAAAUCAGAAUUCCUGCCAUUCAUGUUUAAACAAGUCACACAUAGCAACAGUGAACAGGAUAAAAAUGCGGGUUUGCAUUGAAACCGUUUUAGUCCUAACCUCAAUUUAUAUUAUGCAAAACACAUUUACAGACAUUUUGUUGGUUAUGUUUCAUUUUGAUUUAGUACUUGUUCAGGUACAAAUUCGAAAAGAAAACAAUAGCUGUUAAUGUUCGAUUGAGAAAUAAAGAUCCUCGUUAGUAACCU
Molecule: long non-coding RNA, 1128 nt
Filed under: Rattus norvegicus (Norway rat)
Lineage: Eukaryota; Metazoa; Chordata; Mammalia; Rodentia; Muridae
Description: long non-coding RNA NONRATT008648
Source: RNAcentral